This 606-nucleotide long non-coding RNA is filed under the name Parus major (Great Tit). Its description in RNAcentral is "lncRNA (ENSPMJG00000016670.1)". The record is from RNAcentral. Lineage: Eukaryota; Metazoa; Chordata; Aves; Passeriformes; Paridae.
GGAGAACCCUGCAAAAUGUAAUCAUGUCAUUUGGAUCAAAUCAUGAAGCUUUCAAAAAUAAAGGAAAAUACAUUGCUCUUUCCCCUUCCCCACCAGCACUACAAUACUGAAUUAACACAUAAAUGAUCUGCUGGCCAGAGCAGAAUAUGGACCACAGAUGUUAACAACCUGGCACCGCUUGUUGUUUCUCAGUGUUGCAGGAGACAGUUUGUCCUGACUGAAUUCCCAAUGACGUGAAAAGACUGACCAAGUCCAGGCAUUUGAACCAAUUAUUAACUUCAAAUGAUGAGUGCUCAGCUACCUGACAGAUUCCAGUUUGGAAAAAUCCAUCUUUCCAGGAGUGAUGGAGCAGAUGUGUCUACUUUAGCAAUGGGCAGCCUAGAAGAUGGACAUUUGACAGGCGACAAUAGACUGCUCCUUUCCCAGAUUACACAAACCUAACAAUUCUCCUUGUGAUGUCUCUUAAGGAUUCUAUGGAAGAAGGCUUCUGACAGUUCCUCUGGUAAUGACUGUUACUUCCCUAUAUAUGACAAGAGUUUUAUGUGUGUGUAAUUCUCCUUGAUUAUUCUAAAAAAAUAAAUGUGUCUAGGAUAAUUUUGUAUAUCA